GGAGGGGUGCCCGAGUGGCCGUAAGGGAGCCGCCUGCUAAGCGGUUUGCCGGGAAACUGGCACGUGGGUUCGAAUCCCACCCCCUCCGCCA
This 91-nucleotide transfer RNA is filed under the name Actinomycetota bacterium. Its description in RNAcentral is "Actinobacteria bacterium tRNA-Ser". It matches the Rfam family "tRNA". Rfam says of the family: Transfer RNA (tRNA) molecules are approximately 80 nucleotides in length. Their secondary structure includes four short double-helical elements and three loops (D, anti-codon, and T loops). Further hydrogen bonds mediate the characteristic L-shaped molecular structure. tRNAs have two regions of fundamental functional importance: the anti-codon, which is responsible for specific mRNA codon recognition, and the 3' end, to which the tRNAs corresponding amino acid is attached (by aminoacyl-tRNA synthetases). tRNAs cope with the degeneracy of the genetic code in two manners: having more than one tRNA (with a specific anti-codon) for a particular amino acid; and 'wobble' base-pairing, i.e. permitting non-standard base-pairing at the 3rd anti-codon position. The record is from RNAcentral. Lineage: Bacteria; Bacillati; Actinomycetota.